AAAUUGAAGAGUUUGAUCAUGGCUCAGAUUGAACGCUGGCGGCAGGCCUAACACAUGCAAGUCGAGCGGUAGCACAGAGAGCUUGCUCUCGGGUGACGAGCGGCGGACGGGUGAGUAAUGUCUGGGAAACUGCCUGAUGGAGGGGGAUAACUACUGGAAACGGUAGCUAAUACCGCAUAAUGUCGUAAGACCAAAGUGGGGGACCUUCGGGCCUCAUGCCAUCAGAUGUGCCCAGAUGGGAUUAGCUAGUAGGUGGGGUAACGGCUCACCUAGGCGACGAUCCCUAGCUGGUCUGAGAGGAUGACCAGCCACACUGGAACUGAGACACGGUCCAGACUCCUACGGGAGGCAGCAGUGGGGAAUAUUGCACAAUGGGCGCAAGCCUGAUGCAGCCAUGCCGCGUGUGUGAAGAAGGCCUUCGGGUUGUAAAGCACUUUCAGCGGGGAGGAAGGCGAUAAGGUUAAUAACCUUGUCGAUUGACGUUACCCGCAGAAGAAGCACCGGCUAACUCCGUGCCAGCAGCCGCGGUAAUACGGAGGGUGCAAGCGUUAAUCGGAAUUACUGGGCGUAAAGCGCACGCAGGCGGUCUGUCAAGUCGGAUGUGAAAUCCCCGGGCUCAACCUGGGAACUGCAUUCGAAACUGGCAGGCUAGAGUCUUGUAGAGGGGGGUAGAAUUCCAGGUGUAGCGGUGAAAUGCGUAGAGAUCUGGAGGAAUACCGGUGGCGAAGGCGGCCCCCUGGACAAAGACUGACGCUCAGGUGCGAAAGCGUGGGGAGCAAACAGGAUUAGAUACCCUGGUAGUCCACGCCGUAAACGAUGUCGAUUUGGAGGUUGUGCCCUUGAGGCGUGGCUUCCGGAGCUAACGCGUUAAAUCGACCGCCUGGGGAGUACGGCCGCAAGGUUAAAACUCAAAUGAAUUGACGGGGGGCCCGCACAAGCGGUGGAGCAUGUGGUUUAAUUCGAUGCAACGCGAAGAACCUUACCUGGUCUUGACAUCCACAGAACUUUCCAGAGAUGGAUUGGUGCCUUCGGGAACUGUGAGACAGGUGCUGCAUGGCUGUCGUCAGCUCGUGUUGUGAAAUGUUGGGUUAAGUCCCGCAACGAGCGCAACCCUUAUCCUUUGUUGCCAGCGGUCCGGCCGGGAACUCAAAGGAGACUGCCAGUGAUAAACUGGAGGAAGGUGGGGAUGACGUCAAGUCAUCAUGGCCCUUACGACCAGGGCUACACACGUGCUACAAUGGCAUAUACAAAGAGAAGCGACCUCGCGAGAGCAAGCGGACCUCAUAAAGUAUGUCGUAGUCCGGAUUGGAGUCUGCAACUCGACUCCAUGAAGUCGGAAUCGCUAGUAAUCGUAGAUCAGAAUGCUACGGUGAAUACGUUCCCGGGCCUUGUACACACCGCCCGUCACACCAUGGGAGUGGGUUGCAAAAGAAGUAGGUAGCUUAACCUUCGGGAGGGCGCUUACCACUUUGUGAUUCAUGACUGGGGUGAAGUCGUAACAAGGUAACCGUAGGGGAACCUGCGGUUGGAUCACCUCCUUACCUUAAAGAA
RNAcentral lists this ribosomal RNA (1551 nucleotides) under Klebsiella pneumoniae. Its description in RNAcentral is "bacterial SSU rRNA". It matches the Rfam family "Bacterial small subunit ribosomal RNA". Lineage: Bacteria; Pseudomonadati; Pseudomonadota; Gammaproteobacteria; Enterobacterales; Enterobacteriaceae. The record is from RNAcentral.